UUGAUGCUUUCUUCAUCUUCAUGUAAAUGCUAUUUGUUUCAUGUUUCCAGAUUUGAAGAGAUCGAUUUGUUUGCUGUUUAAUAAUGAUUUACGAUGUGUUUUGUCAUAUCUAGGGUUUGCUUGUGGUCUUUCGUAUCCGUCAAAACCCUAAUCGACCGGAGAAAUCGUCAAAAGUUCUUCACAAUAUGAUCGUUCCACAUAAUUUGCAGGUGAAGAGCUUCUUUCAGACUCCUUCCCCUACAAGGAACUAUUGAAUGGGUUCCUAUGAGAAGUUGAAGAAAACGUAU
Molecule: long non-coding RNA, 287 nt
Organism: Helianthus annuus (common sunflower)
Lineage: Eukaryota; Viridiplantae; Streptophyta; Magnoliopsida; Asterales; Asteraceae
Exons: 3
Source: RefSeq, a predicted model, not a curated record